Molecule: ribosomal RNA, 254 nt
Filed under: uncultured bacterium
Lineage: Bacteria
Description: partial 16S ribosomal RNA
Rfam family: Bacterial small subunit ribosomal RNA
Source: RNAcentral
UACGGGGGGGGCAAGCGUUGUUCGGAAUUACUGGGCGUAAAGGGCCAGUAGGCGGCCAACUAAGUCGGAUGUGAAAUCCCCAGGCUCAACUUGGGAACUGCAUCCGAUACUGGAUGGCUUGAAUUCGGGAGAGGGAUGCAGAAUUCCAGGUGUAGCGGUGAAAUGCGUAGAUAUCUGGAGGAAUACCGGUGGCGAAGGCGGCAUCCUGGACCGACAUUGACGCUGAACGGCGAAAGCUAGGGGAGCGAAACGGG